Molecule: non-coding RNA, 21 nt
Filed under: Caenorhabditis elegans
Lineage: Eukaryota; Metazoa; Nematoda; Chromadorea; Rhabditida; Rhabditidae
Source: RNAcentral
UAUCAAAAUCACCAAAAAAAA